This 570-nucleotide long non-coding RNA is filed under the name Marmota monax (woodchuck). The record is from RNAcentral. Lineage: Eukaryota; Metazoa; Chordata; Mammalia; Rodentia; Sciuridae.
CCUGUUGCUCUCCUAACACAGGCUGUAGUCCCCUUUCUCUCCUGCCAAUCUCUUUCUGGAUAUAGUCCCCUAUGUCAUGUUCCUCUUAAAAGGAUUCAAUUGGCAUCAAGUACAGUUGUCCCCAGGUGGGCUGACCCAUGUGAAGGAUUUGAAGGUAGCCUUUAAAUUUAUACAUCAUUAGUUUUCAAGUUGGGAGCCAGGCCAGCAAACACAAUGACAACCCAAAUGGAAAGAAGUCUCAUCUCAAACAAAGUUGAUUCUCUCUUAUGAUUCUAGCCAAACAGAAUAAAUUCCCCAGAGGAGAGCAUCAAGUCAUUUCCUGAGAUUAGACACUGGCAGAUCUCUAACAACAUAGGAGGAAUGGCAAGCAUCUUGAAAAUUUUUUCUCUGUUUAUAAGAGGUGAGAAGACUCUAAGGAAAAUACUCAUAAGAGUCCUUGUAAAAUGACAGCUAUGUAACCUUUAGGUGAAGUUACUGCACAUUUUCUUGGUUUCCAAAAUGAACUAUGGUGGACUCACCUUAUGCCACCCUCACCCCAGCCAGCUUAAAACUGCAUAGGUAGAAAGCAAG